GCCAGACUCCUACGGGAGGCAGCAGUGGGGGAUAUUGCACAAUGGGGGGAACCCUGAUGCAGCGACGCCGCGUGGGUGAAGGAGCGUUUCGGCGCGUAAAGCCCUCUCGGCAGGGAAGAAGGAGGACGGUACCUGACUAAGAAGCCCCGGCUAACUACGUGCCAGCAGCCGCGGUAAUACGUAGGGGGCAAGCGUUAUCCGGAUUUACUGGGUGUAAAGGGGGCGCAGACGGCAGCGCAAGCCAGGAGUGAAAGCCCGGGGCCCAACCCCGGGACUGCUCUUGGAACUGCGCGGCUGGAGUACAGGAGAGGAAAGCGGAAUUCCUAGUGUAGCGGUGAAAUGCGUAGAUAUUAGGAAGAACACCAGUGGCGAAGGCGGCUUUCUGGACUGAAACUGACGCUGAGGCACGAAAGCGUGGGGAGCGAACAGGAUUAGAUACCCUCGUA
Molecule: ribosomal RNA, 446 nt
Filed under: uncultured bacterium
Lineage: Bacteria
Description: bacterial SSU rRNA
Rfam family: Bacterial small subunit ribosomal RNA
Source: RNAcentral